RNAcentral lists this ribosomal RNA (113 nucleotides) under Hepatozoon catesbianae. RNAcentral describes it as "small subunit ribosomal RNA". Lineage: Eukaryota; Apicomplexa; Hepatozoidae. The record is from RNAcentral. RNAcentral also lists the same sequence under 2 other names.
CUCUUAGCCUGGUGGUAGUGUCCAUACAGUGUUAAGUUAAAGGAGUGUUAGAAGCUAAGAAUAGCGCUGGAACACAGAACUUAACCGAUUGUAAUCGCUGUGACCAUACCAUC